CCUACGGGUGGCAGCAGUGAGGAAUAUUGGUCAAUGGGCGGAAGCCUGAACCAGCCAAGUAGCGUGCAGGAUGACGGCCCUACGGGUUGUAAACUGCUUUUAUCCGGGAAUAACGCGCCUUACGUGUAGUGCUUUGCAUGUACCUGAAGAAUAAGCACCGGCUAAUCCCGUGCCAGCAGCCGCGGUAAUACGGAAGGUCCGGGCGUUAUCCGGAUUUAUUGGGUUUAAAGGGUGCGUAGGCCGCAGGGCAAGCGUGCUGUGAAAUGUGCGGGCUCAACCCGGGCCGUGCAGCGGGAACUGAGGUGCGUGAGUCCGCGGAGGGCAGGCGGAAUUCGUGGUGUAGCGGUGAAAUGCUUAGAUAUGACGAAGAACCCCGAUUGCGAAGGCAGCUUGCUGCAGCGGAACUGACGCUGAUGCUCGAAAGCGCGGGUAUCGAACAGGAUUAGAUACCCUUGUAGUC
RNAcentral lists this ribosomal RNA (460 nucleotides) under uncultured bacterium. RNAcentral describes it as "partial 16S ribosomal RNA". It matches the Rfam family "Bacterial small subunit ribosomal RNA", at positions 338 to 795 of the family's 1533-position model. The record is from RNAcentral.